AACUAACCAGGAUUCCCUUAGUAACGGCGAGUGAAGAGGGAAGAGCCCAGCACCGAAGCCUGCGGCCGUUUGGUCACUAGGCAAUGUGGUGUUUAGGUUAGUUGUGCGAAGUCACUGCUCCACUCUAAGUCCUGUUAUGAAUACGGUAUUAUGGACAUAGCCCACAGAGGGUGAAAGGCCCGUGGGGGUGGAGUGGUGUCUUCCUUGACUAACCUUGGAGUCGGGUUGUUUGAGAAUGCAGCCCAAAGUGGGUGGUAAACUCCAUCCAAGGCUCAAUACUGGCACGAGUCCGAUAGCGAACAAGUACCGUGAGGGAAAGUUGAAAAGUACUCUGAAGAGAGAGUAAACAGUACGUGAAACCGAUCAGAGGUAAACGGAUAGAGUUGAACUGCAAACCUUGGAGAUUCAGCUGGUGAGCGUGGCUUGAGCUUGGUCAUAUUGGUCGGCUUCAAAGGUCUGCUUAGCUGCAGGUCGUUGCCUUCUGGUAGCGAUUCGCGAUGCACUUUUCAAGUGUUGUGAGCUUUUGUUGUCGCGGGCCUGCUUGCCAGUGCACUUCUUCAGGGUGUUCACCACGACCGACGCUGCCGUCUGUCUACUGUAGUCGAACCGUUGGUGCUAAUGGCCCUUGGGCUUUGUGCUUUCGGGAUGGCAGGUAGCUCGUUAGCUUUCGGGCUUUCGAGUGUAAUAGCCGACUGCAGUGGAGCUGUGCGGUGCGUUGGAGAUGGCGGCUACAUUGUGUGCGUAGGUGCUUGUUCUAUCGUCGAGGCUGGGUCUGGUUGUCUAGUUGCUCGUUAAUCGCGGGCCAGAUGAUGUCCCAGUUUCGUGCGGUGGGCGGUUGCUUGCGUGACAUUUAUUGGGCCAAUAGUCUGUGGUGUAGUGGUAAACUCUCUACCCGACCCGUCUUGAAACACGGACCAAGGAGUUUAACAUAUGCGCGAGUCAUUGGGUUUUCGAAACCUACAGGCGUAGUGAAAGUAAAUGUUCGGCUUUGUCCGGACUGAGGUGAGAUCCCGUCUUUUCUCAUGCGUGGUACUAUCAAGCUUUGGAUUGGCGGGCGCAUCACCGGCCCGUCCCAUGGUGUGGUCAUGAUUCCUUUUUUGAGGGGCUGUGCAUCACCGGGGCGGAGCAUGAGCGCAUAUGUCGAGACCCGAAAGAUGGUGAACUAUGCUUGUGCAGGUUGAAGCCAGAGGAAACUCUGGUGGAGGACCGCAGCGAUUCUGACGUGCAAAUCGAUCGUCAAACAUGAGUAUAGGGGCGAAAGACUAA
RNAcentral lists this ribosomal RNA (1266 nucleotides) under Hemipera manteri. Its description in RNAcentral is "partial 28S ribosomal RNA". It matches the Rfam family "Eukaryotic large subunit ribosomal RNA", at positions 63 to 934 of the family's 3401-position model. Lineage: Eukaryota; Metazoa; Platyhelminthes; Trematoda; Azygiida; Derogenidae. The record is from RNAcentral.